Molecule: ribosomal RNA, 379 nt
Filed under: Listeria monocytogenes
Lineage: Bacteria; Bacillati; Bacillota; Bacilli; Caryophanales; Listeriaceae
Description: bacterial SSU rRNA
Rfam family: Bacterial small subunit ribosomal RNA
Source: RNAcentral
CUAUCGCUUACAGAUGGGCCCGCGGUGCAUUAGCUAGUUGGUAGGGUAAUGGCCUACCAAGGCAACGAUGCAUAGCCGACCUGAGAGGGUGAUCGGCCACACUGGGACUGAGACACGGCCCAGACUCCUACGGGAGGCAGCAGUAGGGAAUCUUCCGCAAUGGACGAAAGUCUGACGGAGCAACGCCGCGUGUAUGAAGAAGGUUUUCGGAUCGUAAAGUACUGUUGUUAGAGAAGAACAAGGAUAAGAGUAACUGCUUGUCCCUUGACGGUAUCUAACCAGAAAGCCACGGCUAACUACGUGCCAGCAGCCGCGGUAAUACGUAGGUGGCAAGCGUUGUCCGGAUUUAUUGGGCGUAAAGCGCGCGCAGGCGGUCUUU